Long non-coding RNA from Talpa occidentalis (Iberian mole), 2697 nucleotides. RefSeq lists it as uncharacterized. The transcript has 3 exons. The record is from RefSeq and is a predicted model, not a curated record. NCBI's taxonomy places the organism in Eukaryota, Metazoa, Chordata, Mammalia, Eulipotyphla, Talpidae.
ACAAUGGUUUAAGUCACAAAGGAUGCGACAUUCCCUGGUGACAAUUCUGCACUACGGACCAGGGCUUGUUGGGCUGUGAAGGAUGCAGGAAGGAACCAGGUUACGUCCCUGUGGCCCAGAGGCUGGUCCAAGAGCAGACACCCACCUGCUGCUGCACAGCCUGCACUUCCUCCGCCAUCAGCCCUUCUGACUCCAGAUCUUCUGCCACCUUAUUAAUGUCCUUCAGCCGUGACUCGUUGGCCUUCAGAUCCUUUAAAGCAAAAAACACAGUAACUGAGACCACAGGAGCAAGGCAAAAGCAAAGGGGCACAGGGCUCAUGAAUGACAGCUGGAAACGCUGACUUUCUGUGUGAUUUAGAAAAGUUCUUAGCAUGAGAGAAAAUGAUGUGUUUCCCUGACACGAACUGGCCCAGGACAGCAGAAGUCACGUGAGACUGCGAGGUCGGAGCUGCUGGACUGCCCUACCUUCUGGAAGUCGUCGAACUUCUUCUGCAGCACCUCCACCUGCUCUAAGUCUGCGCCCACCUCCUCGCUUGUCAGAGCAGCUUCCUUCUCGUUGAUCCACUGCUGUAGUUCGUUCGCUUCACGGAACAACAUGAACUUCUUGCAACUCUUCUCCAACAUACCUUUACGCUUCUCGCCCAGCUCCAGCAGAGAAUGGUAUCUGGUGCAGCAGAGAGAAUAAGAAGGGCAAGGAGACAGUUAGCUUUCUAGAGAGGCCAAGAUAAAGGCAAACACCAGGUGUCUCCGAGAUGUCGAUCCCGGCCAUGAACGCGUGACAAUGGCGCCCUGGUGACAGAGUGCUGGACAGAGAUGAAGAUGAAGCACCGAAGGGCCACAGGGUGCCUCGGGGAUGAGCACCCACUGACUGCUCACAAAUGGGUGGCCAGAUCAGCAAGACACCCCUGGCCGCAUUUGCACUCACAACAUCAUGACCACACACAACCCAAACGUAGCAUUCAGCACACAUGGGCUCUGGCGGCCGCAGGGAGUGGAGCGUGCCAGGCACAACACCCACAGGGGCUCCUCCACUCGCUCCACGGGCAGGACGAGGCGUGGGAAGGGGAUGGAGCUUCAGCGCGGCCUGGGGGAGCACACCGGGCCCUUGGGACAGCAGGGGCUUCCCUAUGUCUCAACCUCAGGGGAAAAGGAAACAGGUACAGGCUGCCUGUUACUACUUUGUCAGCUGGCAGGUCUCUUAAGAAGAACCAAAGGGUGUUCUAAUCUUCGGGAAAUAAUACAAAAGCCGAACACCUGCUCUUCAGAGAUGUGAAAAUGAAAAACCCAAUAAAACUGAGUUAAAUGGUUAAAAAAAAAAAAUCUAUAUUCACCAUCAAAUCAAAGCUGCCCAGAGGGGGAAAUAAAAAGCAAUGCAUUACCAAGAACCACAGCACUUUACAGAGAGGCAUGUCCUUUCCCUCCUACAGAGGGACACUCCCGACUGGCCAUAGACCUGCGCCAGUGUUAGCACGACCAUGUGGGCCCGCGGAGAGGUGGGCCACAACACUGAACAUAUAGCCGCACGCAAGGCCACCAUGAGGAAAGGGGCCGUCAGGGCCAGCGCCACCGACACCUCCUCCCGUGUGAGCAGAAGCUGCUGCACAGAAAGGCUCCCCCCUCCUCAUCUGUCUGGAUGAACGAGACCCUUCUGAGAAAAGCGGCUGAGGGAGAACAGACAAGGUGGAGCAUGGACACGGUGCUCAGCGAGGCUUGUGGCCUACUCACAGUUCUUCCACCUGUUUCAUACGCAGAGAUACACUGCCGGCCUCCUUAGUUAUGCGUGUCCUGCACAGGGGGGCACAGCAAAAGCAUGCACGAGUUAGUGGAUUAAUCGAGAGAGAGGAAAAGCGGUGCUCCGAUGGUGCCAGGACGGCCGAGGCUUAGAGGGGAAAUUAGGGAGUCAUUCAAAGCUCUUGGAAGCAGGCCAGGCCAUGAAUGAAGUCACAGUCAAGAAACAGCACGAAAAUUAAAUGAGAGGGUUAUUACUUCACCUUUACUUUCCUGAAAAAUUGGCCACUCUAAGGGCAGUCAAUUCGUCCGUACUGGACAAACUGGUGAGGGCAGAGAGCAAGGCCAGAAAUAAGCACUGCCCUGAGAGAAAGCCUUUCCUGAGAGCUAAUCUGCAACAUUAGCCACAUAUUUGGUCAACUUAUUGCUCUUACACGUCUGGCCCAGGCCCAAACCUCUCACUCUCACCUCUACAGGCCUAGCAGGAGUCUGUUAGUAAACACAGAACCUUUCCAGGGGUAGACAGGGUCAAAUAAUUCUAGUCUACACUCCAGUGAGAGCACAUCUCUCCUGGGGCCCACGGCUUUCAACAGGGUUAAAACAUGCCCUCACGAAAGGACAAGGCCAACGUGGGGCUCAGCUUUGAGAGAGGAAGAGUCCUCCCAUUCUCCUGACACAAGGCAUGGCAGAGGUGUACUCCCGAAGAGCAAUUUAGAGAAGGCAGAGCGGUGAGGGUGUGGAACACCUAAAAAUCCGAUUUCAGAAAGGAUCUCCUGAAGGGCAGGACAAAGGUUAAGAUAAUGAUUUAAACAAUGCAGCUCAGACAGUCAUGAGCGUGCAGGGGAGGGGAGGCACACAACACACUGGAAACAGGUAUCCGGCGGGGAUAUUCGUUCCAAAUAGAAUGUUCUGGGUUAACUAGGACCUGGGAUGGCAGGGAAGUUCAUCCUGGGGUACAGGCAGAGGAAC